This 332-nucleotide ribosomal RNA is filed under the name uncultured bacterium. Its description in RNAcentral is "bacterial SSU rRNA". It matches the Rfam family "Bacterial small subunit ribosomal RNA", at positions 568 to 898 of the family's 1533-position model. The record is from RNAcentral.
CGUGCAGGCGGUCGGGCAAGUCAGAUGUGAAAGCCUUUCGCUUAACGAGAGAAGUGCAUUUGAAACUGCUCGGCUAGAGUACGGGAGAGGAGAGUGGAAUUCCCGGUGUAGAGGUGAAAUUCGUAGAUAUCGGGAGGAACACCAGUGGCGAAGGCGGCUCUCUGGUCCGAUACUGACGCUGAGACGCGAAAGCGUGGGGAGCAAACAGGAUUAGAUACCCUGGUAGUCCACGCCGUAAACGAUGGGCACUAGGUGUAGGAGGUAUUGACCCCUUCUGUGCCGAAGCUAACGCAUUAAGUGCCCCGCCUGGGGAGUACGGCCGCAAGGCUAAA